UUCAUGAGAAUGCCUGGCUCCCUGUAUGCCACACGUGUGCACUAAUUCUUGCUGCUUGAAUUUGGUUACUGCGGGUGGCGUGCGAGGAGCCAAGCAUUCAGUACCC
This 106-nucleotide microRNA precursor is filed under the name Asparagus officinalis (garden asparagus). Its description in RNAcentral is "miR160c stem-loop (aof-MIR160c)". Its record names the gene aof-MIR160c. The stretch from base 8 to 99 matches the Rfam family "mir-160 microRNA precursor family". Rfam says of the family: The hairpin precursors (represented here) are predicted based on base pairing and cross-species conservation -- their extents are not known. In this case the mature sequence is excised from the 5' arm of the hairpin. The record is from miRBase by way of RNAcentral. Lineage: Eukaryota; Viridiplantae; Streptophyta; Magnoliopsida; Asparagales; Asparagaceae.